ACAGCAUAUAUUAUAAACAGCAUCAUUCCUUGAAGUACACUUUUCAUAAGACAUCUUCAUUAAGAAGGUAAGAC
Molecule: non-coding RNA, 74 nt
Organism: Myotis lucifugus (little brown bat)
Lineage: Eukaryota; Metazoa; Chordata; Mammalia; Chiroptera; Vespertilionidae
Source: Rfam